Long non-coding RNA from Benincasa hispida (wax gourd), 783 nucleotides. RefSeq lists it as uncharacterized. NCBI's taxonomy places the organism in Eukaryota, Viridiplantae, Streptophyta, Magnoliopsida, Cucurbitales, Cucurbitaceae. The record is from RefSeq and is a predicted model, not a curated record.
AUAAAAUCAACUUUUCCCUUCCCCUUCCUCACGAUCUCCAAGCCGCGGGACCCCUGAAACUCUUUUUUUUUUCCUCCUCUAACUGACCCGCUUCGUCGGACGCCGCCAGCCGUCCGGACCUCAAGCCAGACGCCACCGUUCCCCUAUCCUAGUCCCUCGUGAAACCCAUUGGUCGCUCCCUGUCCGAAGCCGUCGCUCGUCGAGCCCUAGCGCCGCUCGUUGUCCAGCAUCUCCGGUUGUCCUAAGCCGUCAGAUCUGAAGCUGCUAGCCGUCGCGCCGCCAUCAGUUUUCUCACGCGUCAGAUCUGAAGUUCUGUCGAUCCGCCUCUUCAUCCGUCCCUCGCCAAAAAAAGCUCACCUGUGCGCCGUUCGUUGCUUAGCCGUCCGCCAACUACCGCACUGGUUUGUAGUCGUCAACCGCUGGCAAGCCACUGUCUUGUGUUGGAAUUUGAUGUUGGGUAUUGAUUUCAAGAUUUGGAGGAUUUAGAGGUGUUGCCCAGUAAGAUGGAGAUUUAAUUUCAGCAGAAAAAUUGAUAAAGUUUGGUCUUAUUUCAAGGUUUUGCUUUGUAGAGGGGAGAUAAGUUUGCUUGGGUUUACUUGAUUUAAUUUUGAGGUAAGGGUAAGGAUGCACUGGCGAAUGACAAGAGGAAUCCUUGAACGAGCCAUUGGGGACCAGUUUUAUGUUUCCGCUCAUGAUAUUUAGAUUUCUUUCCAUAUUUUUGAACUUUCAAUUUGAUGUUUGAAACUUACUAUUAAGAUUUGUUUUCAGACCUAUUUAUUAUCA